CGGCAACAGCUCAAAUUUGAAAUCUGGCGCAAGCCCGAGUUGUAAUUUGUAGAGGAUGUUUCUGGCGACGUGCCUUCCGAGUUCCCUGGAACGGGACGCCAUAGAGGGUGAGAGCCCCGUACGGUUGGAUGCCUAGCCUCUGUGAAACUCCUUCGACGAGUCGAGUUGUUUGGGAA
RNAcentral lists this ribosomal RNA (176 nucleotides) under Clonostachys byssicola. Its description in RNAcentral is "partial large subunit ribosomal RNA". It matches the Rfam family "Eukaryotic large subunit ribosomal RNA", at positions 99 to 280 of the family's 3401-position model. Lineage: Eukaryota; Fungi; Ascomycota; Sordariomycetes; Hypocreales; Bionectriaceae. The record is from RNAcentral.